RNAcentral lists this non-coding RNA (45 nucleotides) under Schistosoma haematobium. Lineage: Eukaryota; Metazoa; Platyhelminthes; Trematoda; Strigeidida; Schistosomatidae. The record is from RNAcentral.
AUGCAGCUGACGAGUCUCAAAUAGGAUGAAACACGCGUCCUGGAU